This 640-nucleotide long non-coding RNA is filed under the name Anas platyrhynchos platyrhynchos (common mallard). Its description in RNAcentral is "lncRNA (ENSAPLG00000022132.1)". The record is from RNAcentral. Lineage: Eukaryota; Metazoa; Chordata; Aves; Anseriformes; Anatidae.
AUGGGGUCCCGUGGGGUACGGACAUACCGGGGACACCCCAAAAAUGGGGGUCACCCCCAUAGGGGUACCCCUAGAAGGGGGUCACCCCAUAAUGGGGACUCUGGGUACACGUGGUCUGGGGACACCCCGAAAUGGGGGCACCCCAAAAAGCGGGGACCCCCGCUGGGGACCCCCAGAGCAGGGGGACCCCAAAAUGUCCCCCCCCCCCCCCCCCAAUGGGGUCAUGGCCCGGUCUCCCCUAUAUCAAUAAAGCGUGUCUGCCCCGCCUCCUCUCGUUCCCUAUUGGCUCGCGCGCACGCCAAUCCGCUCUGCCCCCGGGCGUGAUUGGGUAAGAGGGUGGUGGUGGGCGGGGCACGCCCCCCAGCGGGAGCUGCGGCUGUGAUUGGUCGCCGCCGGGCACGCGGUGGGCGCGCCUCUCUGUUGCUUAGCCAGCCCAUGAUUGGCUAACAGGACAAGCAGGGAGGGCGGGGUUAGCCUUCAUCUCGCUCUCUGAUUGGCUAGCGAAGCUGUCAGCACAGCGCGAGGCAGGAGGCGAGCCCAACCGCAAUCCACAGCCGGGAGGGCGGGAUUUAGCGAGGCUCUGCGAGCGCUGAUUGGUCGCCGCGCGUUCUUCCGGCGGAAGCGGCGCCUGAGGCGAGGG